CGCCGCGUGAGCGAAGAAGGAUUUCGGUUUGUAAAGCUCUAUCAGCAGGGAAGAAAAUGACGGUACCUGACUAAGAAGCCCCGGCUAACUACGUGCCAGCAGCCGCGGUAAUACGUAGGGGGCAAGCGUUAUCCGGAUUUACUGGGUGUAAAGGGAGCGUAGGCGGCUGGACAAGUCUGAUGUGAAAGCCCGGGGCUCAACCCCGGGACUGCAUUGNAAACUGUUUCNUAGAGUGUCGGAGAGGUNGUGGAAUUCCUAGUGUAGCGGUGAAAUGCGUAWDUMYUANGAGGAACAUCAAUGGCGAANGCGACUUACUGGACNAUAACUGACGCUGAGGCUCGAAAGCGUGGGGAGCAAACAGGAUUANAUACCCUGGUAGUCCACGCUGUAAACGAUGAAUACUAGGUGUCGGGUGGCAAAUCCAUUCNGUGCCGCAGCUAACGCAAUAAGUAUUCCACCUGGGGAGUACGUUCGCAAGAAUGAAAC
RNAcentral lists this ribosomal RNA (486 nucleotides) under uncultured Clostridiaceae bacterium. RNAcentral's name for it is "partial 16S ribosomal RNA". It matches the Rfam family "Bacterial small subunit ribosomal RNA", at positions 395 to 900 of the family's 1533-position model. The record is from RNAcentral. Lineage: Bacteria; Bacillati; Bacillota; Clostridia; Eubacteriales; Clostridiaceae.